GUGCCAGCCGCCGCGGUAAUACAGAGGUGGCGAGCGUUGUUCGGAUUUACUGGGCGUAAAGGGCGCGUAGGCGGCCGUGUGUGUGGGGUGUGAAAUCUCCGGGCUCAACCCGGAAAGUGCGCCCCAAACUGCACGGCUCGAGUUCGGGAGGGGGGAUCGGAAUACAGGGUGUAGCGGUGAAAUGCGUUGAUAUCCUGUAGAACACCGGUGGCGAAGGCGGAUCCCUGGAACGAAACUGACGCUGAGGCGCGAAAGCAGGGGGAGCAAACAGGAUUAGAAACCCCCGUAGUCC
Molecule: ribosomal RNA, 292 nt
Filed under: uncultured bacterium
Lineage: Bacteria
Description: partial 16S ribosomal RNA
Rfam family: Bacterial small subunit ribosomal RNA
Source: RNAcentral